Molecule: small RNA, 125 nt
Filed under: Marmota monax (woodchuck)
Lineage: Eukaryota; Metazoa; Chordata; Mammalia; Rodentia; Sciuridae
Source: RNAcentral
GCUGGGCAGGGUGGCUCAGGCCUGUAAUCCCAGCACCUCGGGAGGCUGAGGCAGGAGGAUGGCGAGUUCAAAGCCAGCCUCAGCAAUGGCGAGGCGCUGAGCCACUCAGUGAGACCCCGUCUCUA